This 466-nucleotide ribosomal RNA is filed under the name uncultured bacterium. RNAcentral describes it as "partial 16S ribosomal RNA". The record is from RNAcentral.
UCAGCUCGGGUACUCCGAAUGCNCUAGAUUUUAGUUUGAUCAUGGCUCAGAACUCAACGCUGUGCGGCGUGCCUAACACAUGCAAGUCGAACGAGAAAGCGGAGGCAACUUUCUCCCUUGGCGCCUUUGGCNCAAAGGGUUUUUAACAAGCCAGCGGGUUUGGUUGGGGCCCCUCUGGNGCAAAAACCCGCCCCCCCUGGGGUUGUGGGCGUCUGGGGGGAUUUUUUUGNGGACAAAAACCCGGGUUUUUUUAUACAAAAAANCGCCCCCGNCUGAAAAAACCCCCUGGGGGGCUGUUUUUUUGGGGCGAGAAAAAAGCCCCCCCGGUUUUUUUAUANAAAAUAGCNCCCCCACCCCCUUUUUGGGGCCCACCCCCCCCCUUUUUUGGGGGGGGAGAAAAAAAAGGGGGGAGGAAAANUUUUUUUUGGGGGGGGAGAGGGGGAAGGGGGGGGAGAGGGGGGGGGGG